This 315-nucleotide long non-coding RNA is filed under the name Zostera marina. Its description in RNAcentral is "long non-coding RNA (ZMAR_LNC004725)". Lineage: Eukaryota; Viridiplantae; Streptophyta; Magnoliopsida; Alismatales; Zosteraceae. The record is from RNAcentral.
GAAAAGUCGAUCUUCAAAAAGUCGAUUCCUAGUGCACUUGGAGGAUUCCUUGGAAGUCGAUGUCUGAAAGCUCCUUGAGGGGUCGACUUUUUCCUUGGAAGGAAAAGUCGAUCUUCCGAAAUGUCGAUCCCUUGCUGGCUGAUUUCCUCGCAGAACUUCCUAGCUGGCGACUUGGAAAAAAGUCGAUCCCUUUUUUCGAAAAAGUCGAGGAGCUUUUGUCGUGAGUAUCUUUGUCCCACAGACGGCGCCAACUGAUGGGGGUGAAACCCGACCAGUACUCCAAGACGCGCAAGCAAGCGCCAAGCGGGGAACUCC